Molecule: ribosomal RNA, 174 nt
Filed under: uncultured delta proteobacterium
Lineage: Bacteria; Deltaproteobacteria
Description: partial 16S ribosomal RNA
Rfam family: Bacterial small subunit ribosomal RNA
Source: RNAcentral
CCUACGGGAGGCAGCAGUGAGGAAUUUUGCGCAAUGGACGAAAGUCUGACGCAGCGACGCCGCGUGUGCGAUGAAGGCCUUUGGGUCGUAAAGCACUGUCGACCGGGACGAAAACUCACGGACUAAUACUUCGUGAGUCUGACGGUACUGGUAAAGGAGGAACCGGCUAACUCU